CAUAGCGACUAUCGUGGCAUAUCAAUAAGCGGAGGAAAAGAAACUAACAAGGAUUCCCUUAGUAACGGCGAGUGAAGCGGGAAGAGCUCAAAUUUGAAAUCUUCAAGGUUCUACCUUGACGAAUUGUAGUUUAUAGAAGUGUUUUCUGUUAGUAGAGUGGCAAAAGUUCUUUGGAAUAGGACAUCAUAGAGGGUGAGAAUCCCGUAUUUGGUCAUUCUUUCUAGCUUUGUGAUACACUUUCAACGAGUCGGAUUGUUUGGGAAUGCAGUCCAAAAUGGGUGGUAAAUUUCAUCUAAAGCUAAAUAUUGGCGAGAGACCGAUAGCGAACAAGUACCGUGAGGGAAAGAUGAAAAGAACUUUGAAAAGAGAGUUAAACAGUACGUGAAAUUGUCAAAAGGGAAGCGUUUGACACCAGUGUUGUUUUUCCGAAAAUCAAUUACGAAUGUUUUGUUUUUGAGAAGUUAUGACUUCAUCGGCUUGCUUCUCUCUUUACGAAACUUUCUUAAUGCACUUUUCGGUUAACAAGUCAACAUCAAUUUCUUUUGUUGUAAAAGGGUAUGAGGAAGGUGGCUUUCUUUUCGGAGAAAGUGUUUAUAGCCUUGUACCUCUGCAAUCGGAGAGAUUGAGGUCUGCAGCGUAGAUCCUUCGGGGUUAGAUACAUUUGUGCUAAGUUAUAGCUUUUCAUAGACAACUUGUUGACUAUGUUAAGUCUUGUAGCUUACUCGCUUAUGCUAUUUUACCUACGCUUAGGAUGUUGAUAUGCAUGACUGAUAU
This 774-nucleotide ribosomal RNA is filed under the name uncultured Neocallimastigales. Its description in RNAcentral is "partial large subunit ribosomal RNA". It matches the Rfam family "Eukaryotic large subunit ribosomal RNA", at positions 22 to 643 of the family's 3401-position model. Lineage: Eukaryota; Fungi; Neocallimastigomycota; Neocallimastigomycetes; Neocallimastigales. The record is from RNAcentral.